Molecule: ribosomal RNA, 497 nt
Filed under: uncultured bacterium
Lineage: Bacteria
Description: partial 16S ribosomal RNA
Rfam family: Bacterial small subunit ribosomal RNA
Source: RNAcentral
GAUGAACGCUGGCGGCGUGCCUAAUACAUGCAAGUCGAGCGAACGGACGAGAAGCUUGCUUCUCUGAUGUUAGCGGCGGACGGGUUAGUAACACGUGGAUAACCUACCUUUAAGACUGGGAUAACUUCGGGAAACCGGAGCUAAUACCGGAUAAUAUUUUGAACCGCAUGGUUCAAAAGUGAAAGACGGUCUUGCUGUCACUUAUAGAUGGAUCCGCGCUGCAUUAGCUAGUUGGUAAGGUAACGGCUUACCAAGGCAACGAUGCAUAGCCGACCUGAGAGGGUGAUCGGCCACACUGGAACUGAGACAAGGUCCAGACUCCUACGGGAGGCAGCAGUAGGGAAUCUUCCGCAAUGGGCGAAAGCCUGACGGAGCAACGACGCGUGAGUGAUGAAGGUCUUCGGAUCGUAAAACUCUGUUAUUAGGGAAGAACAUAUGUGUAAGUAACUGUGCAAAUCUUGACGGUACCUAAUCAGAAAGCCAAGGCUAACUACGUG